This 305-nucleotide ribosomal RNA is filed under the name uncultured bacterium. RNAcentral's name for it is "bacterial SSU rRNA". It matches the Rfam family "Bacterial small subunit ribosomal RNA", at positions 332 to 655 of the family's 1533-position model. The record is from RNAcentral.
CGGACCUACGGGGGGCAGCAGUGGGGAAUAUUGCACAAUGGGGGAAACCCUGAUGCAGCGACGCCGCGUGAGUGAAGAAGUAAUUCGUUAUGUAAAGCUCUAUCAGCAGGGAAGAAAAUGACGGUACCUGAGUAAGAAGCCCCGGCUAACUACGUGCCAGCAGCCGCGGUAAAACGUAGGGGGCGAGCGUUGUCCGGAAUGACUGGGCGUAAAGGGUGCGUAGGCGGCAUAAUAAGUUAGAAGUGAAAUACCCAGAGCUUAACUCGGGUGCUGCUUCUAAGACUGUUGAGCUUGAGUGCGGGAGG